RNAcentral lists this ribosomal RNA (497 nucleotides) under uncultured bacterium. Its description in RNAcentral is "partial 16S ribosomal RNA". It matches the Rfam family "Bacterial small subunit ribosomal RNA", at positions 28 to 507 of the family's 1533-position model. The record is from RNAcentral.
GAUGAACGCUGGCGGCGUGCCUAAUACAUGCAAGUCGAGCGAACAGACGAGGAGCUUGCUCCUCUGACGUUAGCGGCGGACGGGUGAGUAACACGUGGAUAACCUACCUAUAAGACUGGGAUAACUUCGGGACACCGGAGCUAAUACCGGAUAAUAUAUUGAACCGCAUGGUUCAAUAGUGAAAGACGGUUUUGCUGUCACUUAUAGAUGGAUCCGCGCCGCAUUAGCUAGUUGGUAAGGUAACGGCUUACCAAGGCGACGAUGCGUAGCCGACCUGAGAGGGUGAUCGGCCACACUGGAACUGAGACACGGUCCAGACUCCUACGGGAGGCAGCAGUAGGGAAUCUUCCGCAAUGGGCGAAAGCCUGACGGAGCAACGCCGCGUGAGUGAUGAAGGUCUUCGGAGCGUAAAACUCUGUUAUGAGGGAAGAACAAAUGUGUAAGUAACUAUGCACGUCUUGACGGUACCUAAUCAGAAAGCCACGGCUAACUACGUG